This is a long non-coding RNA of Mus musculus (house mouse), 13715 nucleotides long. RefSeq annotates it as predicted gene, 51629. Lineage: Eukaryota; Metazoa; Chordata; Mammalia; Rodentia; Muridae. The record is from RefSeq and is a predicted model, not a curated record. The transcript is spliced from 3 exons.
GACGCAAAGUGAAAUCGUACAAAGAAAGAAUAGACUGAGAGAAGGAAGAAGAGGAGGCAUAGAGACAUGGCACUACAGUGAAAGGAGAAGGGAGAUGAAGACCCAAAGAAGGAAGUGAGAACACUAGCAAGAACAAUGCCAGCUAAUGAUUACAUACUAACCCGAGACCCAUAAUCCCUAACCAACAACUUCUAGACUUUUUACAUGUCUGAAGUUUUAUUUUUAGUUAAAGUCAUUUGUUUCAAAGAUUUCCUCCUCCCAGAUGAAGUUUCAUGAUAAUGUAAAUACUGAUAUGAAGUUUAAUUUUAAUUUUAAAUAACACAUUUCAUUAUCUACAAGGCAGGGUCAGGUUUGGCCAGUGGCUAUAAUAAAAUAUAUAAUAAAGAAAAAGAAAAGCUAUAUAUUGUUCCAAUUUCAAGUUGCUUAUAAAGCUAAGGUAUGUGCCCCCAUCCCAAAACACAUAAAACAAUACUAGCUUGUCAUCAUAUUUAAAAUGUCCCCAGGGAUCUAAAAAUCCCACAAUAAAAUGAACUACCUAAGAACAAAAUAGAUAAAAUAGAUUUACAGUUUCUCAUGCAAAUUGGGGCCUAGUAGCUUUCCUCCAGAUGGAAUAAAAGAUCCAUGUUUACAAAGCUGGUGCUCCUGAGCAUCAUCUGUGGCCUACAGCAGUACAUCCCAAUGGUGACCUAUUGUUCACCUGGUGCUCCUGAGGAUCAUCUGUGGCCUACAGCAGUACAUCCCAAUGGUGACCUAUCGUUCACCGAUGCUAGAAACUGUUCUGCCUCAGAAUUUCCAAGAGCUCCAGCCAUGGCAUUGUGAUUACUCACUGAGUUUAAGUCUUAUUCACUACUCUUAGUCACUAUUCACAACUCACUAAAAUAUUUUGGUUAUUUUACAAUGUCCAUUUUAAAAGUUAAGGGAUGAUGAGAAAAAUUAUUGAAAAUGUCAAAUGCACAUAAAUAGUUACUCAUUAUUAAAUGAAUGGAAAUGACAUAUCCAAGAUAGACACAGGAAACAAAAGUAGCAGGAAGUAUAUUUAUAGGUUCAACGAUACAAAACCCAUUUGUCCUUGGGACUUCCUACUUUUUAUUUUGAUGUCUCAUUUGGACAUCAAACACUUGCAACACUAAGCUACAAUACCUGUUAAGGCUGAGAGAAAUCAAAGUGUCCCUUUGAAAUUCCCAUUAAUAAACUAAAAUGUUUCAUGACUUUAAAACUUUUUUUAAACAUUUAUUUAUUUCAUGUAGAUGUGUACUAUUCCAAAUACCACUCUCUUCUAUAGUUUAAAGUUACACAAUUUUCUAUCUCAAGCUAGAAGUGACUUAUAUCUUAUCUAGUUAUUGAAUCUUUGAAAUGGUCUACAGUUCUUUGUCUUUACUCAAGAAUUCUUCAUGCUUUAUUCCCUUGAUUCUUAGAAUUAUGAAAGCAGCAUUUCUAGGUUAGUAGGCAGAAAGCAGAAAAGCAAAUUGAUGGUACCAUUUUGAACUUUAAUUAAGCUUUUAUGUAAUGGGUGUCUGGAUAUACACAACUGAUAUCAAAAGGACCAUUAUCAACAUGCUUCUCCAGUAACUAAAUAGCUACAUGACUUAACAUAUUAAUAUUCUCCAGAGUAGUAUAAAUACCCAUGCAAUUUCUUCAAAAAAGCUUCAUCUAAAUUAUUUGUAAUAUUUUAAGUAGCUUUCCCUGCCAAUUCCCUCAACCACUAGAAUUCCUUUUGUAAUUUAAAUUAAAGAUGGAGGUUUAUACAUAAGGCAGAUAUGCCUUUGUACAAGUAUUUCAAAGAAAAAUACAGCAACCAUAAGUUGGAACCCAUUGCAUUUUCUCAUGUUAAAAAUAUUUCAUGCUUAUUAGGAAUCUACAGAAAACAAAUCACUAGCUUUCACCACUUAAAGCUGAAUCAGCAUAUGCUAGGAUGGUUAGAAAUUCAUACUCAUUAAAAUCAUUCCUCCAAAAAGAUUUUAUUAAUUGCUUCUCAACAAAUCCAAGUGUUUAAGUGAAGGCAAACCAAUGAAACUGUGUGAGUGGGUAAGUUAGAUACAAAGAGGCAUCGCCUCUAGAAAAAUCCACAAAGCCUAUUGAAUUUCAUCCACUUACAGUUAAAAUGUCCAGUCCAAACACAAGCAACUCCUUCAAGCUAAAUCUCCCAGGAUAUCAAUUAAUGCAUUUGCAUAACCAACUUUGGAGAGGAAGUGGAACAGAAACCAACAAAGCAAAAGCUGUAGCACUGUGCAGCAGGUGGGCGAUCACAGCUGCUGCAAGGAGGUUUAUUAAUGAUGUAAACAGCAGCAGAGAGUCAAUUAUUUACACAUGCCUGUCCUACUUAGGCUGAGAAAGUGGACACCACAGCGAAAGCUCAGUGGCUGCAAUGUGAUGGGUGUCGGUGACACAACCAUGCUAUCUCUUACUUUGGCUGUUCCUUGUUCUUAAGAUAUUAUAAAUUGUAUGCCCAUAUCCAAAUGCAUUCUGGGAACUUGACAUUGGCCCUUAAAAUUAACAAGUGAAUCAUCAUUGUUUGUUCUAAGCUGAGGACUCAUUAGAUAGAUUAACCCACAUAGCUCUUCGAAUGCCUAUGAACUCAACAAUCUUGUGUUCACUCCAUUUGAAGACACAGAGAGCAACUUUGUUGAGAUGACACACGAGGGACAUGAUCAGGAUUUUAAGCUGAACUGUUUGAUUUUUCUAAAAUUGCUGUCUUUCCCAAAUAGGUACUGGGACCUGUCCUGACAUGACUCCCAUGAUGUGUGUUGAUUUUUUUUUCUUUAAUCUAUCUCUAACUGAUCUGACUCAGACUCUAGGAAACUUUAGCCCCAUCAGCAUUUUCUUAUGGAGCACAGUAGGUAAUUUAUCAAUGUAGUUUUUGUUAGCAUCACAAUAGUGUGGGAAAAUGGAAUAUGGUGAGAAGAGAGAAGUGAUUGAGAAAGAGAGGGAGAGAAAAGAAAAAAAUAACUUGGAUAAAUUCUUUAAUGUCGAUGUAGAAAUUGUCUUCAUGUUGGUUCUAUAACAACUUAAGGUUCAUUCUGUCCACACAUAUCCCCAUUAAGCACAGUUGUAGGAGGAGGGAAGGCAUACACUAAGAUUCAUGUGGUUUUGGCCAAAGCAUGGAAAGAAAACCAAACACAAUCAACAACACUAACGUGUCACAUUUUUCUUUCUUUGAUAGAGCCGGACAUCUCUGUGAUACCUUGGCUUAUUUUAUGUAGGUGUUCUGGUCAUCUUUAAGGAAAGAACAACCCUGACGUUUUGUUUCAGAAUGGACUCACUUCAAACCCGCACAACACUGGCCACACUUAUCGCCCAGCAUCCCUAGUCACGCCAGUAAAUCUGAAGAAAUCAGCGGAUCAUUUUCAUUGACACAGGGUCAUCUGAAAAGUCCUCAAAGUACCUCUUACAUAGUGCCACCCUGGACUACAGGCUGUCUCCCCUGCAGACUCUAGGAAAAGGCACGGAGAAGCUAUCCUCAGACUCUGGCCUUGCAGCUGAACCCUGCUGGCAAAUUGCCCUCUGUCAGUAUGGCCCUCUUCAUGGGUGCCAGCAAGACUUGGCCUCAUUUUAAAAGAAAAAUAGCUCAGGCAGCUUUGUGGUGAAGUUCUGAAUGCUUAGCUGAAAUCAAUUAAGAUGACAAAGGGUGGAGGGGCUGCUUUCACAUGGUGCUGAAUAAAAUCUCUAUGUUUUUUUUUUUCUUCCUCUGAAGAACUCACUCACUUUUCUCAAAUGAAGAAAAGACAUGUAGUUUGGAAUAAGAAAGAUGAAUUGUCUUAAAGAGAACGUAUAAGGUAUUCUGUCAAGCCAGCUGACACAUGAGGGUAAUAUUUAGGUGAUGGGUUAAGGAACAGCUGGCAUAAUUAAGGCCUAGAGGUGCGCUCUGUGGUCCAGAAAAUGAGAGAGAGAGAGAGAGAGAGAGAGAGAGAGAGAGAGAGAGAGAGAGAGAGAGAGAGAGAGCACGUAGUGCAUUUAAUCAUAUGGACAUUGUGUAUUUUUCAAGGAAUGAAGCCUCCAAUGUUGCUCUUCCCAGACUGAAGUUGGUGACAGGUCUUGGAGACUGUUUUUAGUAGAGUGGGCUCUCUGCCCAGUUUUAAUCACCAUUAGGGAAAUGGGUCUCCGACCAGCAGGAUGUAUUUCACUUUCAGGAUAAGCAAGUGGAGAGCAGCCAUCCAUUUCUCAGGUGACAGCCUCAAUUCCCUGAGAUGGGAUCCGGUGCUCUGUAUUUCUUAGCAAAUGAAACGGUGCAUUUCACUGCAAUGUGUUCAUGACUUCACGCCAUUGGACUUCACCCAUGCUCACCACCACCUGCCAUGCCUUCCACUAGUCCUACUUCCGAUCUGAAACAGUGCCUCUUCUGUGUGUGUGUGCAUGCAUGCGUGUGAGCAUGCAUGCAAACAUGAACUGUGUGUAGGAAACUUGUUUUUAUUUGUCUGAUUCAGAGUCUUAGUCUGUAGCACAAACUAUCCUUGAACUUAGGGUCUCUUGUCUUGUUUUUCUGAAUGGUGGGAUUAUAGGUUUGUACCCCAAAGCCAGGCCCAAACCUGUAUUUUGAGAUGAGUAAUGGAUGUGAUGAGAUAUUCAGUCCAAAGGACAAAAAACAUUGAGAACUAUGGGAAAAUUGCUGCUCUCUCAAAGGCUAAAAGGAUCACAGUAUAUGUCAACUUCUCACCUGAUCAUUUUUCCAAGGGGAAAAUAUUUACAUUUUCCUGGAGACCAUCUAAGAAGCUUCUGGAAUACAUGGUCACAGACCUUGUUCCUGUUUCUUGAUCCUAGACAUCAUAAGGUAUGUUACACAUGAGCUGCAGUAAUCCCUUAGUGUUAAAGUGAAAGAUUCAGUAAAACAAGAAAAUGUAGAAAUACAAAAUGGAUAGUUUUUCAGAAUGAACUAAUUAAUGAAAACUAAAACUGUAGAUGGAUUCCAUUCUCAUGUGGCUGUUCCCUUUUCUCUGAGCAGUGUAGGAAAACACAUUCUGGGCCUGGUCCAUGCUAAGCAAGCCCACCACAAACUGAACUAAACUCCCUGUUGGGGACAAGCAAACAAACAAAAAUGCUGUUUAUGAAUAUAGUUAAUGUUGAUUUGACCUUUAUCUUGUUCUUAACUCUUCAACAUAGUCUCUGCUUAUCUUCUAAAGCCUCUCCUGCAUCAUGUACCCUAAGAUCACACGUGUGUUUCUCCAACAAAUACUAGUAAGUAGAUAGGAUAGUUUGUCCUAAUGUUAUAGAAUAUUGUGGCCUCAUAUUUAUCCUAUCCUAAGGUGGAAGAGAACAAACAUUUAGCCUUUUAAUUCAGAGUUGUUUCCCAUUGUCUUUAUAAAAAGAGAGAACAAAAUUUCAAUUAUAAUUUAUAUAUCUCAAAGACAACAUUUUUCAACUAUCCCUUUUGAAGAACUAUUCAGAAGGCAGUUUUCCACUCAUGGCUUGUGGUUUGCCUGUGUGUAUAAACACAUAGUAGGAUGUUAAUUUCUUUAUGUAAACUUCCAACAGUAUUACAGACUGUUCUCAACUGGUAUAUAAAUAUAAAUCAAUUCUCCAGUCUGUAGGAUGAAGAUAAAUAGAGCUAGGUACAUUCUGUGCCAUACACUUGGAAAACUGGGGAAGGAUAUGAAUGCUUUCAACUUAAUCAAUGGUCAUUUGAUAGUAAGUGAAGAGCUGUCACUUGAGAAAGUCUCUACUGAAAUUACCACCUUGACAGGGAGGAGACAAUGAGAUUAUAAUUGGGAAUAUAUACAUUUAUGCAUAUACACAUAUGCAAGCUAUAACAAGAAGUGACAAAGAGGCCAUGAGUCUGAAGGAGCAUAGGGAGAGGUAUAUGUGAAGGUCCAGAGGAAGGAAGGGGAAGGGAGAGAUGCUACAAUUAUAUUAUAAUCUCAAAAAAUGCACAAAAAUAUUCUCAAAUAAGAUUCAGAAUUCAGAUGUGUUCUUUGAAAAUUGAGAAAAUUACCUAUGUAUUUCUUCUUCCUAUUUAUAGAUUUGAGCUACAUAUAUAAACACAUAUAGACAUAAACACACAUAAACACACACAUAAUAAAUGCAUAUACAUACAAUAAACACACAUUAAUAAACAUGCACACACAUAUACAUAGGGCUAAAAUAACAAUUUUCAUGUAUUCCUUCACUGUGUAAUACAAUAUUACUUCAUAAGUAAAUUAUUUCAAACUUCAAUAGCAUACCCCUUUCUUAAAAUGUCAUAUCUUAAAAGAGUUGCUAUUUUUAUUUAUAUACAAAUUAAAUUAUAAUAAUGUAAUCCUUUUCCUUUCUCAUAGCAAUAUUUAUUUCCAAAGUGAAAUAUACUAAAUUGAAUCCUGAUCAAACUACUAUCAGAAAUGAAAUUUAGAAUACCUAUCCUAUAGACUAUAGAUUAUUUUCUAGGCUGACAGAAUAAUCAAUAGGUAAUAUUAGAGAACCUACAUCUUUACCUUCCUACAAUCCAAAGUAUAAAACAAAAACAAAAACAAAAACUACACAAAACACUUGUAAUCCUUACUUUCUGGCUAAGAAAAACAUCUUACUGACUGGUGUGUUCAGCAGUCAUUGUCUUAAGUCAUUUAACUCAAUUGGCUGCAGUGAGCCAAGGCUUACAUCAAAGCAAAGAACAUGUGCAAGACAAAACCACAGCCAAUUGUUACCAAAAUUGCUUUGUUCACCUCCUGGCUGCUCUCCUGUAUUUCCAACUCCCCUGGGUUAGCCACUAGCUGCUACAGAGAGCAUCUGAGGUAAUGAACGCUGUUUUUAAAGCUUGCCUCCUCCUCUGAAGUAUUCAAUGUCAGGAAACACCCUGAAUCAGGAUUGCAGAAUGUGAGCAAGUCUCUGGGCACAGACUCACCUGGUUAAGACAAACAGAAGUGGAUCUCUUCAAACUGAAGGCAGCUUGCUGGAAAUAUUUUUUUCAUGAGGAAAUCACAGGAGAAGAUAUGAGACUGCUUUUUGUGAAAUACACACUGGAAAAUACAGUGUAAACGUGCAGGCACUCACUGUUUUACAAGGGGUGGUUAAAUGAUGAAUAAUAAGUUCAGUUUUAUUCCCUGACUUGUUCCAAUUGAUAAUUACAUUCUUCAUAUGUAAAACCUUUAUUAAAGAUUUCACAAAUUGGUCUUAAGAGUACUUCAGAUGGCUCAUUAAGAAUUCUUAUACUUUUUAAGGUUAUAGACCAAAAGGAGCUGGAGAGAUGGCUCAGUGGGUAAGAGUGUUGGCUGCUCCUCCAGAGAACCCAGGUUCAAUUUUUAGCCCCCAGUUCUCAGCUCACAACUUGUCUGUUGCAUCAUGAAUUUAUAGUAUUCCUUUCUCUUUUGCUACCUUGAUGAAGAAUUUCAUUUGCAUGAACUUUUUAGGACUCUUUUAAAGUCAGAAAAUGCUGAGAGGCCAGAUUUACUUUAUUGUUAAAAUAUCUCCUUGCCUUAACGUUUUUUAAAAACACUUUUAGCAUUUAAUGAAACCACAAAAUAAUACCAGGGUUCUUUUGGGCAAGUAUGCUUAUAAUUUUAUAGAAAUCACUCUUAAUUUCCCGUUAUUACACUCCAUAUUAAUAUAUAAACAUCCCAGUAUUACUUGUCAGCACACACAGCUUCAAAUGUUAAUGUAAAGACUGCUGUUGAGUGAUGGAUCCAAGAGCAGUGCUGCCUCAAUUUAUAUAUCUGUGGUCCAUAGCUUAGAACUAUGUAUACUUGGCCACUUUGCCAAUAAGGAUGAGAAAAUGACAUUACCAAGCUAAAUGAUUGAAUAUAAGUUUGCAUACAAUGCUUGCCUUGACAUUUUAAAAGUAAAUGAACCCUUCAUUCACAAAGGGUAAAAGACAUUCUUAAAUAUUAACAUACAUCAAAUAAAGAGGCAUGGUCCUAUUGUUGAAUAUCACUCCCUUGUUUUUUAUUAAAUGUGGAAAUCAAGGAUAUUGUUCUUAAAAUAUUUAGUAAAUCAUCAUGAUAUGAUAACCCUCAAAAGACAAUUUAUCAUAAAUGUAUAAUAAUUAGUAGUGAAAACAUUUGCAUUUAUUAUCUGACCAAACAACAUACAAGGAUUACUUCCUGUCCAGGCAUUCCUCAGUACUUUCAUUCUUUUGGAAAAUACAGAACUACUUGAAUGGACUAGAGAAAAAAAGCCUGGUGGCUUUAGUAGUGUACACUUGUAGAACUGAGUUGUCUUAGUGUGGGGAAACAUAGAGUAUAGCAUUUUUAUAACCCCAGUUUGAACCCUGGAUAACCAUAGGGCUGGGGCGUAAUACAUGGAGCUAUAGAGAAAUGGACUGUCCUAGAAGAGUAAGUAUACUGUGUAGGUGAAUUAUUGAAGAAAGAGAUUGUUUCUGAGUUUCUUAGUAGGAGAGAAAGUCUGCAAAGAAAAACUGUAUGUGUAAUUACAGGAUAGCACAAGGAAACCGUUAAAGUAAAACACUAAUAACAUGCCUGACUGGAUAAGCACACACAAGAACUUGCCAUAUGUGAGGCUGCUCAUCCCUCCUUUUAAAAGCGGUGCCAGGGGGCAUUGCUCAUCUCCAUGACAAGCUGUUUCCACUGACUGCCUCUUCCUGCACAGCGUUUGCUGAGCCCAGAGCAUUGUUCAAAUGUUCACUUCUCUCAAUCACAUGUGUUUAAAUUCAAGCAAGACAUACUAAGUUGGAACGUGGAAGAUUUGCUAUGUUAAAAUAAUGUAUGGAUGGCUAAGGUCUGAGAGCAAAUGUGGGUUUGGUGCAGCAAUAAAGUUAGCAGGUGGCUGCUGAGAUUGGAGACCCUCAAUAAAACGGAAACCUAUGAUUUCCGUGUUUAUCAGGAAUUGGUACAUCCAUGAUAGUGUUUUCACUUCCCAGUCACUAUGUUCCAGGCCUGGGGGUAGGGGGCCGUGGGUGGAGAUCUGUCAUUUUCAUAUUCAAGUUUUAGUGUGUGUGUGUGUGUGUGUGUGUGUGUGUGUGUGUGUGUAUCUGUGUGUGUAAGAGAGUGAACAAGAGAGCAAGAGAGAGAGAGAGAGAGAGAGAGGGGUUAAUUUUACAAUAAGACUCUGGAAGCAGGAGCUAUGCUUUACUUAGGGAAAUAUCAACCUGAAUGGCUGAGAACUGGGGCACUGAAAAACAACGUGUGCAUGCAUGUGUGUAUGUCUGUAGUAGAUAGAGACAGAGAGACAAGGAGAGACAUAAACAGAGAAAGGGAAUCAAAGAGAGAGAGAGGCACAAAGAUAUUGAGAUACUGAGACACAAAGAUACAGAACAAAGAUGGUGAAUGACUGUAAAGAGCUUGCCACAUGGAAAUUUGAGAAAGGAUAAGGUGUGGCUGACUAUGAUAUCACUAUUUCUUCUCUUCCUAGAGGACGGAGAAGAAAAGCAAGUAAAGACACUUAAUCAGCAGCUAGGAAAGGGAAGAGGAGGAGGGAGGGAGAAAGGAAAAGAAAAAUGCACAUAUUUCCCUCAAAGUGGUAAAUAAAAAUUCUAAAUCUUGACUGUUUGGGAGAAUUAAAGACAACAAGGGUCAAUGGAAUAUAAUGAGCAAGCAUGGUAUCAACCUUCUCGACUCAGAAUCAGUAUCUGAUGGGAAAGAAUAAAAUACCCGGUGGGUUAAGGAAAGAGCUCAGGCAAAUGCGUAAAAACUUCAGAUAAAGGUUGAUACUAAGCAGAAGUAUCCAGCAAUGAAAGAAAUGUGGAGCUCUAAAUCAAAAUGUAAUUAUUGUCAUGCAAGAAUUAAAAUAAGGGCCCAAAAAAACCUCUGGUCAUAAAUUUGUUUAAAGUAACUACAAGUGAGGAAUUGAACGAUACAAUUUCCAGGCUCUCUUUUAACUCUAAUUUUUAUUGUGAAGAUUCCAUGACCCAGUUCAGCCCAGAACUCUUGGUGUGGUCCUGAUAGUAUCAUUUUGGAUGCUACCCUUAAGCCUGACGGGGCAGAACAACAGAGAAGUGCUCUUACAUACUGGCUGCCGCAGGCAGUGGAAUGGGACUUGGCUACCCCAUGCCUGUCUCCAGUUUCCUCAUCUAGUAAGUGAGGGUAAGAUGAUCAAAGGCAACCACACAUUUUAAUUAGAAGCAAUCUGUAAAACUCUUUGCCAAAGGUAACAUAUUAUUAUCUGUUGGAACAGUUGUCAAAACACAGGAAUCGUGGGACCUAUGAGAUUAAAGAGCUGAAGGUACAGACUCGAGAGCAACUGAAUCUAAACUAAGGCUUUGCUCACUUAGAAAGCACUAGAUUGAACAACAACAACAAAGUUCCAUGAGACUUUUCAGCUUUAUUAAAAUCUUAAAAUUAGAUAUCCUAAUAAGGCUGGCUCCAAUAAAAACAAACAAACAAACAAACAAACAAAACAAAAAAUAGCAAAACAAACAAAAAAACUCUUCAAAGGGAAUGGAUUCUCCAUGCACUGAGAACCUCGCCCUUCAUGAGGCAUUGACCCCUAUAAUGUACAAAGAAAAUGAAAACACACACAAACACACACACACACGCACACACACACACACACACACACCCCUCAUCUUCUAAUACAGUUAGCAUUGAUUAGACAUUCAUCACUCAUCUAAAUAGCUGGGCAGAAAAUUGAACAAUUUCACAAAGAGAAGAAAAGCCAAUUGCUAAACUGUAGUUUGUACACACCCCGCAGAUCUAUUUCUCUAAACCACAAUCCUGUAGAAAGUCCUAAUUCGCAGAAGGGAACUAAAUCACAGUGAGGUAAAUUAACUUGCGUAGGGCCUACUUUUCUUCUUGGGACAUUAUGGGAGAUGGCUGGUGUAGAGACAUGUUCUGUGUGGCUUAGAGUAAGAAUACUUAGGGUGUUAUUAAUGAAGGAUACUUUAUAAGAAGCCAAUUGGAGAGUCCCAUUCCCUCAAGUGGCAAAAUGGGCAACAGACACAAUUACAACCCAGCAUUACUUUGAAAUGAGACAAAACCUAUAAUCUUAUAUUUUUUAGAAUAAAAAGCCCCCACCCCACCCCCUGAAGCAUUACAGGGCCCUUUGCUGGCUAGAGCCUAUUCAGUUUGAUGGUAUCUGGAGUCAUCCACACAAUGUUAGCUUUGGGUAAUUGGGCAAGGAAUUAACUAAGUGCCAGCACUUGUUUCUUUGAACUUUUAGUCCAUCAGUCUUCACUGGCCUGAGCGCGCAUAAAGACUGGACUUGGGCUUUGGAAGAGACUUGGCUUUGCCAUCACCCAUCAUCCAUCACCUUGUUCUGACAUCAAAGCUAAAUCACCAAGAUGCCCAUACUUUAUAAAUCACACCUCUGGGAAUCAUCACCAAACAAAACUUACAUGUGCCUCAGAUCCUGAGGCAUGUGCCAGAUAAGCUAUUGUUAAGACCUAUGUGGAAGCCAUGGAUUAUGGUAUUGAGAACACAUAUGAAGAACUGAAAAAUAAAUGCCAAGAGGUUAUAUCCUGGAGCGGAAAAAAGUAUUACUGCUCCCUGUAGUAAGGGAGAUAUUUUUAAAUGGAAAGAAUUUCAAACUCCAACUUUGUGUUUCAACAUAUGAUCAUUCUCUGUAGUCAUGCAAUGGAGUCUCUUUGAAAAGAGUCCGAAGCUUGUGAGUCCUUCUCUUAGUGAGGCUGGGGUUACAGAAGCUGUCUUAUGUGAAAUCAUUUGACUUUCAAUCUGAGGGGACACUCUUAGCAGCAAAUGAUGGAUUAUUCAUCCCUGUGACAGAGAACUCAUCUGAAUUGUAAUUCAAUUGUAAAUGUACUUUGACUGACUUGGUAUUUCAUUCAUUUCUGGUUUUGGCAGAUUUAAUUCUGGAAUAAUAUAGGUUUUCUCAAAACAAAACAAAACAAAGCAAAACAAAAUACCCUUUAACUGGCUUCACAGUUCUGGGGUGGAACUCUUGCCUAGCAUUCUGGAGAUCCUGGAUAUACGUGUCAGUGUCAUAUAUCAAUACAUAUAGAAAAUGGAACAACAGAAAACAAAAACAAAAACAAAAACAAAACAAAACAAAAAGAACCUCAGCUCAAGAAAAUAGAGCCAUUAUAAGUCCAUGCCCCUCUCCAUGCCUGAAUCCUAACUGUAGUUAAAGAAAAUAAAAGACAAAAUAACUUCAGAUUUUAAAAUACAAGCAAGUUUUACUUAUGCCGUAAAUACUUAUUUUAAAAUGCUAUCAAUUGUCCCUAAAUAUAAAACCAUGCUUUCUAACCUUUAUACAAACCAAUAUUAAUUGCCUUGGCUUUUUUUUUAUAAAAGAGCCAUCUGUAGAAAUUUUUAUGUAUAUGUAUGUGUACAUACAUGUAUGUGAGUGAACGUCACAUGUGUUUGGGUGCUGCCAAGGUCAGAAGAAGCAUCCGAUCUCCUGGAGCUGGAGUAAGAGUGGUUUUGAGCCUCGUGUUAAGUGGAUGCUAAGAACUGAACUCAGACCCUCCAAAGAGCAGAGCAAGCUUAACCUCAGAGCCAGCUCCACAGCCUCAGCUUUCCACUGUGAGUGUGUUAAUGACCUUAGCACCACUGAUGGAGUAGGAAGGAGCUGAUGUAGACUGGGAUAAAUCCACUAAUCCUAGAAAUAACCCAAGGUGCACAAGUUAGAAACCAUGAGUGAUAUCUGUUUUCCAGUCUUCCCUUUCAGGAAAACUGAAACACUGUCUCCUUCAGGCCCUUCCUAAUUCUCCCUGUCUUAUUAUUAUUUUAAUAUUGAAUAAAUUUAUAAAAUUGAAUGGAGAGAUGCUUGCCACACUAACCCAAAGGUAGAAGAAUACAGAGUUAUGAUUUCCUUGUGAAAUAUCAUUUAUUUCAAACAAAACACCUGCGCCUUUCUGUCUAGGAAGGAAAAGAGUAAAAUUGAAGCAAGUGAACAAUGAACAAGCGACCCUAUCUUAACAAUGUGCCGGGAGUCUUAGUAAACAUCACUGGAGAAUUUCAGCCAUCCAUAUAAGUAGGAAUGACAUUAGACUAGAGUCUUAAAUGUCUUCCUUUCACUGUAGACAGAUCUUUUAAUGUACAUAUACACAUACAUACAUAUGUAUGUAUGUGUUUGUAUGUAUGUAUGUAUGCUUAUUAGUCACUCCUGGACUUGGGUUUGAUGAUCUGUCACAUUCUUCAUGGUGAGACAUGCCAGAGGAAGACAUGUUUGUCAGAGCCCACAUAAAUCAUUCAAAACCUAGAUGCUGAGAGCAAGUUCAAAAGCAAGCAAUCCUGACAUCAGUGAUUUCAUUCACUACACCAAAUCUAUUAUCUCUAAUUUGAUUCCAUCAAAUAAUGGUAUUUUACCAACAAUGACACCUUCAAUAAAGAGACGCUAACAAAGGUAAGGAAAUGGGAAGAGACAGCUGCUACAGAGUACUGCAAUUACAUCCUUAGAACACGAAAUGCCAUUCUCUGAUUCUGCUGAUCCUGGGCAAUUCAGCUUGUAUGAUGCCAGCUUCACUGGGGGUAAAAGUGGCCAUUAGUUUUUAAUGCAUGCAUUAUAAAGUUUUUUAUUUAAAAUGUAUUCUAGUUAUAUAUCAUUGUAAUGUAUUGAAAUUAAAAUUAAGGACUAGAUAGUCUAUUUUACUUUCAUUUUUUAAAAUCCAAAAGAAAGUAAUAGGUUAAAAAUGGCUUUCUCCCUAGGGAGGGACGAGAAAAACAAGAAAAAACAUUCUCACGCAUCCAGAGGCCACUCAAGUCAGACUUUAUGUAGACUGGGACCAGAAAGCACUAAGAAGAAACUAUUUUGAAAAUGAUGGUUUUCACUUUACAGUAAAAAGUUAAGAACUAUUUCAAUAUUUUGUUGUGAAACCAAGUAUGUGAGAAUUAACGUGACUGGACAGAUGACAUUUGUAAAGACAUUAGCUGUGGAAUCCUGGAAACCAGGUUCAAACUGCU